Molecule: long non-coding RNA, 1080 nt
Filed under: Phaseolus vulgaris (common bean)
Lineage: Eukaryota; Viridiplantae; Streptophyta; Magnoliopsida; Fabales; Fabaceae
Description: long non-coding RNA (PVUL_LNC001556)
Source: RNAcentral
GCACUCAAGACAGUAGCAGUUUCAUCUUCAUGCUGAGUUCUUAUAUUCUCAAUCAUUGCCUACAAUACGCAUAUUUAAUAUUCAAUAUUAUAAAAAUAAUAUUAUAAACAUAUUUUCAUUUGAAAGUAGAAGAGGAAUUGCAUGAAGGAUUCAACAAAAUUGGAGAAAAAUGAUGAAAGUAACAAGAAAAAAGAACCUAGACUAUGCAUAUUGCUAUAAUGUUAAAUUUUUCACUGAAAUCAAUAUUCAAUAGUAACAUGUUCAAAACAUAACCAAAUCCCAAUCUUAAUUGCAAUUCAUCACAAUAAUUUUAGUUACUCCAUCUAAUUCAUUCUUCGACAUGCAAAUUUUUUAAAAUAUUACAAACUAUUUUCGAUUCCUAAACUAACUUGCUAUAAACUAACCUUUAUAGCAUUCCCAACACAACUUCCAAUUUCAAAUGACAAUCCUCGUACAACCUCUGCACCACCUCAACCAAACACAGAAAAACGCAAUAAUUAAAAAUCAUGAAACCAAAAUCAAUUAACCUAUUAAUUAACCUUAGAGGUUAAGCUGCAAAGCAUCGAAGCCAAUACAAAAAUUCAACAUCAUCCUCCCAAUUUUGAAGACUGGAACCGAUUACGUAGCCUCACUAGCUCACUCACUACAAAAACAAAUAAAUCUGUGCAACAACAGAUGGGGACAGAAAGAAAUCGAGGUUUUAACAACUGCUUGAUUAGAUAAUCACAGUAGGAACAAAUGGUUUGGCCAAAAACGAAGAAAAAGGUGUAGGGCUUGCUCUGAAAAAAUAGGAGAAAAAGGGAGAAGAUUCUAACUCGCGCCAAAAAACGAAAAAAGAGGAGAAGAAUUUAGCUUGCAUAUGAAGAAGAGGAUCUAGGGUUUGCUCUAAAAAAAGAGGGGAAAAAAGGGAAGAUUUAACCUUGCGAGUUUGGUUUGAGAAGAAAAGAUGAAAACUGGAAAAGAUUUGAACUCGUAGGUGCUUUGAAGAAAGAGGUGAAGGAUUUAAUCUUUCGGGAAAAAAUGAAAAUAAUUAACGGUUGGCUAAACUCUCCAGAAUACACUCAAAAAAGCCUAGUAAUA